AGAAAUUACUAAGAUCUAGAAGACAGGCAUGAUCUUAAAUUCAUGAGAUGUUAAAGAAGAGUUGAAGUGUUAUAGGAAGAAGUCAAGCCAGGCAGAAAGAAAGUUAAUUACUAGUCCUUGUGUAUCUCCAAAUAGAAACAAUCUGAAGAUACAAGAGGAAAGGAGACUCCUGCCUUGGCAUUAACCCUAAGAAGCAGUGCAUAUCUUGGGAAGGGACUUCCACAGAGAAGAAGCAUUCACGCAAGCAGGUUGAACGCUAUUUUACUAAGAAGAGUGUGGGAUUAAUGAACAUCGAUGGAGUUGCCAUUAGCAGUAAAACUGAACCUCCCUCAUCUGAGCCCAUCUCCUUUAUACCAGUGAAGGACUUGGAAGAUGCGGCUCCUGUUACAACCUGGUUGAAUCCUCUGGGGAUUUAUGAUCAGUCAACCACACAUUGGCUACAAGGACAGGGUCCUCCAGAGCAGGAAUCAAAGCAGCCAGACGCACAGCCAGACAGCGAGAGUGCGGCUCUCAAGGCCAAGGUGGAGGAGUUUAACAGGAGGGUGCGGGAGAAUCCUCGGGAUACGCAGCUGUGGAU
Molecule: small RNA, 577 nt
Filed under: Pan troglodytes (chimpanzee)
Lineage: Eukaryota; Metazoa; Chordata; Mammalia; Primates; Hominidae
Description: processed transcript
Source: RNAcentral